CUCAGGCACCAUAGAACCCAGCUCCGUAAGUGUGAAUGUCCAGAUCCUGAUCCGAAAUCUAACGUGUUAGUUCAAAACCAAACAGCUGGGCAUGUCCUACACACAGUGCUCUCCAAAACAGUGCCACCAACUUGAAUAUUCCCACUUACUUACACAACUACAAGUCCAUCCCUGUAAAGCCACAUAGGGCACCACUCUCCAGUAAUCGAGACGCCAGCUCCCUAAGCGUGAAUGUCCAGAUCCUGCUCCUAAGCCUCAUGUGUUAGCACAGUAACAAAUAUCUGGACAUGUUAUAAACAGGGUGUCCUGCGGAACAGUGCCAACAACAUGGAUAUCCUCACUUACUUCCGCACCUAAAAUCCUGUAAAGCCUCACUGGACACCACAUUCCGGUGACCAAGACACCAGCUCCCUAAGUGCCAAUGUCCAGAACCUGCUCCUAAGCCUAAUGUCUUAGGACAGAAACCAGGAGCUGGACAUGUCCAACAUAUGGCGCCUUCCAGAACAGCCCCUCCAACAUGAAUAUUCUCACUUACUUACGCAUUUAAAACUCCAUCUCUCUAAAGCCUCACUGGGCACCACUCUCUGGUGACCAAGACACCAGCUCCCUAAGGGCAAAUGUCCAGACCCUGCUUCUGAGCCUAAUGUCUUAGGACAGAAAC
Molecule: long non-coding RNA, 661 nt
Organism: Pezoporus occidentalis (night parrot)
Lineage: Eukaryota; Metazoa; Chordata; Aves; Psittaciformes; Psittacidae
Exons: 2
Source: RefSeq, a predicted model, not a curated record